RNAcentral lists this ribosomal RNA (253 nucleotides) under uncultured bacterium. RNAcentral's name for it is "partial 16S ribosomal RNA". It matches the Rfam family "Bacterial small subunit ribosomal RNA", at positions 524 to 776 of the family's 1533-position model. The record is from RNAcentral.
UACGUAGGGUGCGAGCGUUGCCCGGAUUUAUUGGGCGUAAAGAGCGUGUAGGCGGCCAGGUAGGUCUGGUGUGAAAACUCGAGGCUUAACCUCGAGAUGUCAUCGGAAACCAUCUGGCUAGAGUCCGGAAGAGGAGAGUGGAGUUCCUGGUGUAGCGGUGAAAUGCGCAGAUAUCAGGAAGAACACCAAUGGCGAAAGCAGCUCUCUGGGACGGUACUGACGCUGAGACGCGAAAGCGUGGGGAGCGAACAGG